CGGAGUCGAACCUGAAUGAAAGUGGCGCGCCGCUGAGGACCCGGGUGGAGCUGCUGCCGUUGGGGUCUGGGCUGGCUUGCUAAGGAGCUGUCGGCGAGGCGGCGUAGACAUGGCUUACAACAAGAUCCCGCCUCGGUGGCUGAACUGUCCGAGGCGCGGCCAGCCGGUGGCAGGUACCCGGGAGGGGACUACGGGAGGGUUCGAAUCCCACUAAGCCGGCCUGGGGACCCGCGCGCUUGGUGGCCGCUAGUCGGGGUCCGGCAGGGCGGAGGAAUGAGAACCGGAGGUGGACAAGAGGCUUCUUGGAGCUUAAAGUUUGUGAACCUUUUUGUGGUAUUUUUGAGUCCAGGUCUUGCUGUCUUGGCGAGACUUGUUCUUGGAAAGAGAGUAGUAUGAGCCUUGAAAUU
RNAcentral lists this long non-coding RNA (407 nucleotides) under Rattus norvegicus (Norway rat). RNAcentral's name for it is "long non-coding RNA NONRATT022169". The record is from RNAcentral. Lineage: Eukaryota; Metazoa; Chordata; Mammalia; Rodentia; Muridae.